GAGGGCAUAGCUCAGUGGUAGAAUACCUACCUAGCAUGCAUGAGGUCCUGGGUUCAAUCCCCAGUAUCUUCA
Molecule: transfer RNA, 72 nt
Filed under: Camelus bactrianus (Bactrian camel)
Lineage: Eukaryota; Metazoa; Chordata; Mammalia; Artiodactyla; Camelidae
Also listed under: 2 other names
Rfam family: tRNA
About the family: Transfer RNA (tRNA) molecules are approximately 80 nucleotides in length. Their secondary structure includes four short double-helical elements and three loops (D, anti-codon, and T loops). Further hydrogen bonds mediate the characteristic L-shaped molecular structure. tRNAs have two regions of fundamental functional importance: the anti-codon, which is responsible for specific mRNA codon recognition, and the 3' end, to which the tRNAs corresponding amino acid is attached (by aminoacyl-tRNA synthetases). tRNAs cope with the degeneracy of the genetic code in two manners: having more than one tRNA (with a specific anti-codon) for a particular amino acid; and 'wobble' base-pairing, i.e. permitting non-standard base-pairing at the 3rd anti-codon position.
Source: Rfam by way of RNAcentral